CCUUAGAGUUUGAUCCUGGCUCAGGAUGAGCGCUAGCUACAGGCUUAACACAUGCAAGUCGAGGGGCAGCAUGGUCUUAGCUUGCUAAGGCCGAUGGCGACCGGCGCACGGGUGAGUAACACGUAUCCAACCUGCCGUCUACUCUUGGACAGCCUUCUGAAAGGAAGAUUAAUACAAGAUGGCAUCAUGAGUCCGCAUGUUCACAUGAUUAAAGGUAUUCCGGUAGACGAUGGGGAUGCGUUCCAUUAGAUAGUAGGCGGGGUAACGGCCCACCUAGCCUUCGAUGGAUAGGGGUUCUGAGAGGAAGGUCCCCCACAUUGGAACUGAGACACGGUCCAAACUCCUACGGGAUGCAGCAGUGAGGAAUAUUGGUCAAUGGGCGAGGGCCUGAACCAGCCAAGUAGCGUGAAGGAUGACUGCCCUAUGGGUCGUAAACUUCUUUUAUAUGGGAAUAAAGUUUUCCACGUGUGGAAUUUUGUAUGUACCAUAUGAAUAAGGAUCGGCUAACUCCGUGCCAGCAGCCGCGGUAAUACGGAGGAUCCGAGCGUUAUCCGGAUUUAUUGGGUUUAAAGGGAGCGUAGGUGGAUUGUUAAGUCAGUUGUGAAAGUUUGCGGCACAACCGUAAAAUUGCAGUUGAAACUGGCAGUCUUGAGUACAGUAGAGGUGGGCGGAAUUCGUGGUGUAGCGGUGAAAUGCUUAGAUAUCACGAAGAACUCCGAUUGCGAAGGCAGCUCACUAGACUGUUACUGACACUGAUGCUCGAAAGUGUGGGUAUCAAACAGGAUUAGAUACCCUGGUAGUCCACACAGUAAACGAUGAAUACUCGCUGUUUGCGAUAUACAGUAAGCGGCCAAGCGAAAGCAUUAAGUAUUCCACCUGGGGGAGUACGCCGGCAACGGUGAAACUCAAAGGAAUUGACGGA
This 922-nucleotide ribosomal RNA is filed under the name uncultured bacterium. Its description in RNAcentral is "bacterial SSU rRNA". It matches the Rfam family "Bacterial small subunit ribosomal RNA", at positions 1 to 917 of the family's 1533-position model. The record is from RNAcentral.